This 73-nucleotide transfer RNA is filed under the name Stegodyphus mimosarum. It matches the Rfam family "tRNA". From Rfam's summary of the family: Transfer RNA (tRNA) molecules are approximately 80 nucleotides in length. Their secondary structure includes four short double-helical elements and three loops (D, anti-codon, and T loops). The record is from Rfam by way of RNAcentral. Lineage: Eukaryota; Metazoa; Arthropoda; Arachnida; Araneae; Eresidae.
GCCUUCGUGGGGUAGUGGUUAGCACGCUCGACGGGUAUUUGAGAGGUCCGUGGUUCGAAUCCUGGUGAGGGCA